AUAUUGCCUGGUAGGGGAGAUACCAUGAUUACGAAGGUGGUUUUCCCGGGGUGAGGCUCAUCCGUUGCACUCUAGAUGUGCUGAUCCCUGCAAUGUCCCCAAAUGUGGAAAACUCAACUGCAUAAUUUGUGGUAGUGGGGACUGCGUUCACGCUUUACCAU
RNAcentral lists this small nuclear RNA (161 nucleotides) under Octodon degus (degu). Its description in RNAcentral is "U1 spliceosomal RNA (ENSODEG00000020934.1)". It matches the Rfam family "U1 spliceosomal RNA". From Rfam's summary of the family: U1 is a small nuclear RNA (snRNA) component of the spliceosome (involved in pre-mRNA splicing). Its 5' end forms complementary base pairs with the 5' splice junction, thus defining the 5' donor site of an intron. Lineage: Eukaryota; Metazoa; Chordata; Mammalia; Rodentia; Octodontidae. The record is from RNAcentral.